AGAAUCUUCCACAGCAGUUGGUUGGGUCAGUGGAUUGUGGAGUAUUUAUGUUGAUGUAUGCUCUGCACCUUGUCUUGGAUGCGCCAUUUGACUUCACAGCUGACAAAGGCGUUCACUAAAGGGGCACUGGAGAGUGUGAAUGAGGCCCAGAGCAGUGAGGAGGUAUGU
Long non-coding RNA from Polypterus senegalus (gray bichir), 168 nucleotides. RefSeq lists it as uncharacterized. Lineage: Eukaryota; Metazoa; Chordata; Cladistia; Polypteriformes; Polypteridae. The transcript has 3 exons. The record is from RefSeq and is a predicted model, not a curated record.